UCAAGCUACAAAGGGCGCAUGGUGAAUGCCUUGGCAUCAGGAGCCGAUGAAGGACGUGAUAAGCUGCGAUAAGCUUCGGGUAGGCGCACAUAGCCAGUGAUCCGGAGAUUUCCGAAUGAGGGAACUCACAUGGGAAACCCCAUGUACCGUAUAGUGAAUACAUAGCUAUACGGAGGUAAACCUAGGGAACUGAAACAUCUAAGUACCUAGAGGAAGAGAAAGAAAAAUCGAUUUUCUGAGUAGCGGCGAGCGAAAGGGAAAGAGCCCAAACCAGUGACUUGUCACUGGGGUUGCGGACAGAACAUUAACGAGAAGAUGUUGUUAACCGAACAUAACUGGAAAGUUAGACCGUAGGAGGUAAUAGUCCUGUAGGUGAAAGCGACAUUAAUCAAGUUCUGAUCCAGAGUACCACGAGACACGUGAAACCUUGUGGGAAGCAGGGAGGACCACCUCCCAAGGCUAAAUACUACCUGAUGACCGAUAGUGAAGCAGUACCGUGAGGGAAAGGUGAAAAGAACCCCGGGAGGGGAGUGAAAUAGAACCUGAAACCGUGUGCCUACAACCGGUCAAAGCCCCUUAUGAGGGUGAUGACGUGCUUUUUGUAGAACGAGCCAACGAGUUACGGUAUGUAGCAAGGUUAAGUACUUAAGGUACGGAGCCGAAGGGAAACCGAGUCUUAAUAGGGCGACUAGUUGCAUGCCGUAGACCCGAAACCGGGUGACCUAUCCAUGGCCAGGUUGAAGCGAGGGUAAAACCUCGUGGAGGACCGAACCACGUUGCUGUUGAAAAAGCAUGGGAUGAGCUGUGGAUAGCGGAGAAAUUCCAAUCGAACUCGGAGAUAGCUGGUUCUCCCCGAAAUAGCUUUAGGGCUAGCGUCGGAUAUGUGUAGUGGAGGUAGAGCACUGAAUGGGCUAGGGGGCAUAUCGCUUACCGAACCUUAUCAAACUCCGAAUGCCAUAUACAUUUAGUCCGGCAGUCAGACUACGAAUGAUAAGAUCCGUGGUCAAAAGGGAAACAGCCCAGAUCGUCAGCUAAGGUCCCAAAGUGUAAGUUAAGUGGAAAAGGAUGUGGGAUUUCUAAGACAACUAGGAUGUUGGCUUAGAAGCAGCCACUCAUUUAAAGAGUGCGUAAUAGCUCACUAGUCGAGAGAUCCUGCGCCGAAAAUGUCCGGGGCUAAAACUUACCACCGAAGCUACGGGCUUGCGUAAGCAAGCGGUAGGGGAGCGUCGUAAUCGGGCUGAAGUCGUACCGUAAGGAGCGGUGGACUGAUUACGAGUGAGAAUGUUGGCAUUAGUAGCGAGAUGUAGGUGAGAAUCCUACAGGCCGAAUAUCUAAGGUUUCCUCAGGAAGGCUCGUCCGCUGAGGGUUAGUCGGGACCUAAGCCGAGGCCGAAAGGCGUAGGCGAUGGACAACAGGUUGAUAUUCCUGUACCACUACCAUCGUUAUUAUCGAGGGUGUGACGGAGAAGGAUAGUGUGUGCUAGCGAUUGGAAAUGCUAGUCUAAGCGUUUAGGCAGUUACGGUAGGCAAAUCCGCUGUAACGUUAAUGCUGAGGCGUGAUGGGGAAGGCCCUUGAGGCUGAAGUACAUGAUUCCAUGCUUCCAAGAAAAGCAUCUAGAGAGAGAAGUAGUGCCCGUACCGCAAACCGACACAGGUAGAUGAGGAGAGAAUCCUAAGGCCGGCGGAAGAAUUGCAGUUAAGGAACUAGGCAAAUUGACCCCGUAAGUUAGCGAGAAGGGGUGCCUGCGAGAGCAGGCCGCAGAGAAUAGGCCCAAGCAACUGUUUAGCAAAAACACAGGUCUCUGCUAAAGCGCAAGCUGAUGUAUAGGGGCUGACGCCUGCCCGGUGCUGGAAGGUUAAGGGGAACACUUAGCGCAAGCGAAGGUGUGAACUUAAGCCCCAGUAAACGGCGGCCGUAACUAUAACGGUCCUAAGGUAGCGAAAUUCCUUGUCAGGUAAG
This 1959-nucleotide ribosomal RNA is filed under the name human gut metagenome. Its description in RNAcentral is "bacterial LSU rRNA". It matches the Rfam family "Bacterial large subunit ribosomal RNA", at positions 3 to 1980 of the family's 2925-position model. The record is from RNAcentral.